Molecule: long non-coding RNA, 2019 nt
Organism: Thunnus maccoyii (southern bluefin tuna)
Lineage: Eukaryota; Metazoa; Chordata; Actinopteri; Scombriformes; Scombridae
Exons: 3
Source: RefSeq, a predicted model, not a curated record
UGUAAGUACACAACUCAACAACAUAUAUAACAUAGGUCUAGUUGUUUUUAGACAUUUUAAUGUGAAUAGUUACACAUUCUAGCUUUAACACUGUUGGUUAAGGAAAGAUCAGGGUUCGGUUUAAAACACUAAGCUUUUUGCCAGUUGAUUAUCUAGCGACACACACCAACCCGCCACCUUCUAAUCAGGCAAAAUCACCUUAUAAAAUGAAAGAAAAUCACAUUAUAUGACGUCACUUCUCUGGGAAGGAUUGGUAUUUCACCUGCACGCAAUAAAGUUAUUUGUACACAGAUUGAAGAGAAGAAGCUGCAUAAUUAGCAAUUAGACAGAACAUACUGACGAUUGAAGUAGUACUGCUGAUAAAAAUAUCUAGUUUGUCCUGACAGUCCAGGUAGAGGAAAGGUCACGGGGUCAUGAAAUGAAAAAGGUUCAUCCUCUGACAAACCAGAACACACAUACAGUAAAAACCAGCUUAUUGGUCCCUCAAAAGUCUCAGGUUUACUCCACAUCCUUUGGGUUUAUAUAAUUUGAUUAAUCUCAAAUAAAUUAUAAAUUAGCUGCAGUGAUCUGAGCUCUGACUGGUUAAUAGUUUUAGUUUAUAUUGAGCUCAUUUGUUGUAAAGUUGUUGUUUUAUCAAACUGCACACAGAGAACUGAGGGACAGUUCGUAUUAUUCCAUCACAGGAGUACUGUAACCGCGACCUGCUGUUAUUUAAUAAUCCAUCGACUGUUCAGUGUAUAAAAUGUGGAUCAUUAUUCCCCGAAGCCCAGUGAACAUAUUCAGAUGACUUGUUUUGUCUGAACAACAGUCGGAAACACACAGAUGUUGAGUUUACUAUCAUGGAAAACUGGAAAGAAGCUUCUACCAGAAAGUUUUUUGGCAUUUUUCGCUUUAAAAAAUGACUAAAACAAGUACUAUCAUAUAUAGUUGGGGUCAACAGGGACCCCGGGGCCUCGUAGGAGGUUAACGGCUGCUGAGAUAUUUAUCUCUGACUAAAAUAUUAGCUGAAUGUGAAAGUCAGAAGAUGAAAUGAGAGAAAGUGUGGGUUUUACGGAAUACUCCUUUAUAACUGUGAUAGAAAUUAAACACAGCUGUCCGUCUUCUUCCUCGUCUCUUCGGUGGUUGGUUUUCUCUCGGCCGUGUGGGCCGGAGCUCUUACACAACCCCAUCGCGACACGAGAAGAGCAACCAAAGUCUAGAAACACACAAAACGCUCGGAGCUGGAAACUGGAAGAUAUAUUCAGCUGCAGCCAGAGGCCAUACGACACACAUGGAGAUGAUAGUAGGAGCUGUCAGAUUGGUAUGCAUGGACGGAGUGUGGGAGGAGAAAUAAAUUCAUAUUUCACAGCCUGCAGCAGCAGCAGCAGCAGCAGCAGAGAGCAGGGACGAGCCUUUGAUCAGCGAGGAUGUUGAAAAUUCAGCUGAAGUUGUGUUCACAGGCGGGCCGGUUACGUAACAGCAGGAGAGCCGGACCACGCCUGUCCAUCACACACUGUCAGACUCUUCUUCUUCUUCUUCUCUUCUUUUGGAAGUUGCUAUCUUUAACUCCUGCAGGUCAGUGAAGCAGCUCAGCUCAGUGUCAACAACAACAACCUCCACUUGGGCAGGAAGUGAACGGGUCACCUGACAAACAAAAGAAGGUGAUAAAGGUCGAAACACCGAGCGGCCGCCGCUCUUUGAUGUGUGCCUGACACGAUGCAGAUACAAAGAAAAAAAAAGAAAAGAAAAAAAAAGACAUGAAGUGAAACAAGCUGCAGGGUAAACACUCGCUUCAUCUCACUAUGUGUGUGUUUACUGUGUCAGAGUCUCUGAAACGAUCAGAGCCGGGCCGUCUGAUUGGCUGUGACCUGCGGCGGGAUUAGAAACACGUCUCCGCUUCCGCUGCGCUGCAGAUAAAAACGCUGCUGACGAGGCAGAAGAGAAACACGGAGAGAUGCUGCUUAUACACGGCAGCUUCACACUGAGUGCAUGUGUGCAGGACACUUUUCACAUGUGGAUGCGUGUACAGUGUGUGUGUGU